UAGGGAAUCUUCCACAAUGGACGAAAGUCUGAUGGAGCAACGCCGCGUGAGUGAUGAAGGGUUCGGCUCGUAAAACUCUGUUGUUGGAGAAGAACGGGUGUCAGAGUAACUGUUGACAUCGUGACGGUAUCCAACCAGAAAGCCACGGCUAACUACGUGCCAGCAGCCGCGGUAAUACGUAGGUGGCAAGCGUUGUCCGGAUUUAUUGGGCGUAAAGCGAGCGCAGGCGGUUUUUUAGGUCUGAUGUGAAAGCCUUCGGCUUAACCGGAGAAGUGCAUCGGAAACCGGGAGACUUGAGUGCAGAAGAGGACAGUGGAACUCCAUGUGUAGCGGUGAAAUGCGUAGAUAUAUGGAAGAACACCAGUGGCGAAGGCGGCUGUCUGGUCUGCAACUGACGCUGAGGCUCGAAAGCAUGGGUAGCGAACAGGAUUAGAUACCCUGGUAGUCCAUGCCGUAAACGAUGAGUGCUAAGUGUUGGAGGGUUUCCGCCCUUCAGUGCUGCAGCUAACGCAUUAAGCACUCCGCCUGGGGGAGUACGACCGCAAGGUUGAAAC
Molecule: ribosomal RNA, 554 nt
Filed under: uncultured bacterium
Lineage: Bacteria
Description: partial 16S ribosomal RNA
Rfam family: Bacterial small subunit ribosomal RNA
Source: RNAcentral